AGACAGCAGGACGGUGGCCAUGGAAGUCGGAAUCCGCCAAGGAGUGUGUAACAACUCACCUGCCGAAUCAACUAGCCCCGAAAAUGGAUGGCGCUGAAGCGCGCGACCUAUACUCGGCCGUCGAAGCAAUUUCUAGGCCUCGAUGAGUAGGAGGACGCGGGGGUCGUUGAGAAACCUUGGGUGCGAGCCUGGGUGGACCGGCCCCCGGUGCAGAUCUUGGUGGUAGUAGCAAAUA
Molecule: ribosomal RNA, 235 nt
Filed under: Ochromonas sp. CCMP1393
Lineage: Eukaryota; Chrysophyceae; Chromulinales; Chromulinaceae
Description: partial Eukaryotic large subunit ribosomal RNA
Rfam family: Eukaryotic large subunit ribosomal RNA
Source: RNAcentral